CAGAUCCUGGCUAUCUGGGGAUAUGUGGUGCGAAUGGGAAAUGUUCGGUUAUUUUAAAGUUAUGUAUUUUUAUGUAUUUUCUGGUAUUGUAUUUAAGAUGGCAAUUUGUCUUUGUCCUGGAGAUAAUUGAAUUACUUCCCAAUUAUCUCCAGGGCAGAGGGGAGGAAACCAUAUUGCAUUGUGGGAAAAGGUUACAUCUGCAUGUCUGAAAUGUCCCCAUGUCUAUCUGUCAUUACAGUCUCCCAUUUGGUCCCCUAGGGGAGUGUCCACCAAGUGGGAGACCUGCAUAAAU
Molecule: non-coding RNA, 292 nt
Organism: Pelobates cultripes (western spadefoot toad)
Lineage: Eukaryota; Metazoa; Chordata; Amphibia; Anura; Pelobatidae
Source: the annotation of a GenBank genome assembly